UACGUAGGGUGCAAGCGUUAAUCGGAAUUACUGGGCGUAAAGCGUGCGCAGGCGGUUUUGUAAGUCUGAUGUGAAAUCCCCGGGCUCAACCUGGGAAUUGCAUUGGAGACUGCAAGGCUAGAAUCUGGCAGAGGGGGGUAGAAUUCCACGUGUGAGCAGUGAAAUGCGUAGAGAUGUGGAGGAACACCGAUGGCGAAGGCAGCCCCCUGGGUC
This 213-nucleotide ribosomal RNA is filed under the name uncultured bacterium. RNAcentral's name for it is "partial 16S ribosomal RNA". It matches the Rfam family "Bacterial small subunit ribosomal RNA", at positions 524 to 735 of the family's 1533-position model. The record is from RNAcentral.